GCCUCUUCCUGCUCGGCGGGGUCGCGGCGGCCCCCGCUCUAGAGAGCGUGCGCCAGGGGGAAACGCAGGAGCCACGGGUGUGGCACAGAACGGAGCCCAGGGCCACAGCUGAGAGUCUUAGGAAACCCGGGAACCUGGAUGCAGGAUUUCCAGGUCCCAGAUGAAGAGAUAAUUCUACUUACUGGAUAUAGGAUGCAUUAGAUCUUCUUACCUUAAAAAAAAAAAAAAAGGCAGCAAUGAUCAAAAUACUAAUAAAUUACUCACAGACUCAGUGUAUUUUUUCUUGGAGUAAAAGUCCAGGAUGGGUAAUAGAAUACCUGCUGUUGGCUUUUGGAAAAAUUGGUACUGUAUGUAGCAAAAUAAUGUGAAACCCAUAUGCAUGGAUAUUCUUAACAAUUUGAAGAAAUCGUCACAGCUUUCCUGGGUUGUUGAGCCUCUAAGAUGGUCUUUUCCUCUGAUGUGAUAAUAAAGUGUUUAUUCUGAACUCUA
Homo sapiens (human) is the source of this 489-nucleotide long non-coding RNA. Ensembl annotates it as TYMS opposite strand RNA. Its record names the gene TYMSOS. The record is from Ensembl. Lineage: Eukaryota; Metazoa; Chordata; Mammalia; Primates; Hominidae.